This 73-nucleotide transfer RNA is filed under the name Hordeum vulgare. Its description in RNAcentral is "tRNA-Pro". It matches the Rfam family "tRNA". From Rfam's summary of the family: Transfer RNA (tRNA) molecules are approximately 80 nucleotides in length. Their secondary structure includes four short double-helical elements and three loops (D, anti-codon, and T loops). Lineage: Eukaryota; Viridiplantae; Streptophyta; Magnoliopsida; Poales; Poaceae. The record is from RNAcentral.
AGGGAUGUAGCGCAGCUUGGUAGCGCGUUUGUUUUGGGUACAAAUGUCACAGGUUCAAAUCCUGUCAUCCCUA